Molecule: ribosomal RNA, 468 nt
Filed under: uncultured bacterium
Lineage: Bacteria
Description: partial 16S ribosomal RNA
Rfam family: Bacterial small subunit ribosomal RNA
Source: RNAcentral
ACGCACGCUGGCGGCGUGCUUCACACAUGCAAGUCGCACGGAAAGGCCCUGCUUUUGUGGGGUGCUCGAGUGGCGAACGGGUGAGUAACACGUGAGUAACCUGCCCUUGACUUUGGGAUAACUUCAGGAAACUGGGGCUAAUACCGGAUAGGAGCUCCUGCUGCAUGGUGGGGGUUGGAAAGUUUCGGCGGUUGGGGAUGGACUCGCGGCUUAUCAGCUUGUUGGUGGGGUAGUGGCUUACCAAGGCUUUGACGGGUAGCCGGCCUGAGAGGGUGACCGGCCACAUUGGGACUGAGAUACGGCCCAGACUCCUACGGGAGGCAGCAGUGGGGAAUAUUGCACAAUGGGCGGAAGCCUGAUGCAGCAACGCCGCGUGCGGGAUGACGGCCUUCGGGUUGUAAACCGCUUUCGCCUGUGACGAAGCGUGAGUGACGGUAAUGGGUAAAGAAGCACCGGCUAACUACGUGC